UUUAUCGGAGAGUUGGAUCCUGGCUCAGGACGAACGCUGGCGGCGUGCCUAAUACAUGCAAGUCGAGCGGACAGAUGGGAGCUUGCUCCCUGAUGUUAGCGGCGGACGGGUGAGUAACACGUGGGUAACCUGCCUGUAAGACUGGGAUAACUCCGGGAAACCGGGGCUAAUACCGGAUGGUUGUUUGAACCGCAUGGUUCAGACAUAAAAGGUGGCUUCGGCUACCACUUACAGAUGGACCCGCGGCGCAUUAGCUAGUUGGUGAGGUAACGGCUCACCUUGGCGACGAUGCGUAGCCGACCUGAGAGGGUGAUCGGCCACACUGGGACUGAGACACGGCCCAGACUCCUACGGGAGGCAGCAGUAGGGAAUCUUCCGCAAUGGACGAAAGUCUGACGGAGCAACGCCGCGUGAGUGAUGAAGGUUUUCGGAUCGUAAAGCUCUGUUGUUAGGGAAGAACAAGUGCCGUUCAAAUAGGGCGGCACCUUGACGGUACCUAACCAGAAAGCCACGGCUAACUACGUGCCAGCAGCCGCGGUAAUACGUAGGUGGCAAGCGUUGUCCGGAAUUAUUGCCCGUAAAGGGCUCGCAGGCGGUUUCUUAAGUCUGAUGUGAAAGCCCCCGGCUCAACCGGGGAGGGUCAUUGGAAACUGGGGAACUUGAGUGCAGAAGAGGAGAGUGGAAUUCCACGUGUAGCGGUGAAAUGCGUAGAGAUGUGGAGGAACACCAGUGGCGAAGGCGACUCUCUGGUCUGUAACUGACGCUGAGGAGCGAAAGCGUGGGGAGCGAACAGGAUUAGAUACCCUGGUAGUCCACGCCGUAAACGAUGAGUGCUAAGUGUUAGGGGGUUUCCGCCCCUUAGUGCUGCAGCUAACGCAUUAAGCACUCCGCCUGGGGAGUACGGUCGCAAGACUGAAACUCAAAGGAAUUGACGGGGGCCCGCACAAGCGGUGGAGCAUGUGGUUUAAUUCGAAGCAACGCGAAGAACCUUACCAGGUCUUUACAUCCUCUGACAAUCCUAGAGAUAGGACGUCCCCUUCGGGGGCAGAGUGACAGGUGGUGCAUGGUUGUCGUCAGCUCGUGUCGUGAGAUGUUGGGUUAAGUCCCGCAACGAGCGCAACCCUUGAUCUUAGUUGCCAGCAUUCAGUUGGGCACUCUAAGGUGACUGCCGGUGACAAACCGGAGGAAGGUGGGGAUGACGUCAAAUCAUCAUGCCCCUUAUGACCUGGGCUACACACGUGCUACAAUGGACAGAACAAAGGGCAGCGAAACCGCGAGGUUAAGCCAAUCCCACAAAUCUGUUCUCAGUUCGGAUCGCAGUCUGCAACUCGACUGCGUGAAGCUGGAAUCGCUAGUAAUCGCGGAUCAGCAUCCCGCGGUGAAUACGUUCCCGGGCCUUGUACACACCGCCCGUCACACCACGAGAGUUUGUAACACCCGAAGUCGGUGAGGUAACCUUUAUGGAGCCAGCCGCCGAAGGUGGGACAGAUGAUUGGGGUGAAGUCGUAACAAGGUAGCCGUAUCGGAAGGUGCGGCUGGAUCACCUCCUUUCUAA
RNAcentral lists this ribosomal RNA (1555 nucleotides) under Bacillus amyloliquefaciens. Its description in RNAcentral is "bacterial SSU rRNA". It matches the Rfam family "Bacterial small subunit ribosomal RNA". The record is from RNAcentral. Lineage: Bacteria; Bacillati; Bacillota; Bacilli; Caryophanales; Bacillaceae.